GACGUAGGGCGCGAGCGUUGUCCGGAUUUAUUGGGCGUAAAGGGCGCGUAGGCGGCUUCGCAAGUGACGGGUGAAAUCCCUCGGCUUAACCGAGGAACUGCCUGUCAGACUGCAUGGCUUGAGACCAGGAGAGGUGAGUGGAAUUCCCAGUGUAGCGGUGAAAUGCGUAGAUAUUGGGAGGAACACCAGUGGCGAAGGCGGCUCACUGGACUGGUACUGACGCUGAGGCGCGAAAGCGUGGGGAGCAAACAGG
RNAcentral lists this ribosomal RNA (253 nucleotides) under uncultured bacterium. RNAcentral's name for it is "partial 16S ribosomal RNA". It matches the Rfam family "Bacterial small subunit ribosomal RNA", at positions 524 to 776 of the family's 1533-position model. The record is from RNAcentral.